GGAAGCGUCUAGGAUCCCGGUGGGCCUCCCGGACUUCAAAUCCGGCGGACCGUUCUAGACAAACGGUCGAUGGGUUCGACUCCCAUACGCUUCCGCCA
RNAcentral lists this transfer RNA (98 nucleotides) under Candidatus Rokuibacteriota bacterium. RNAcentral's name for it is "Candidatus Rokubacteria bacterium tRNA-Sec". It matches the Rfam family "Selenocysteine transfer RNA". The record is from RNAcentral. Lineage: Bacteria; Candidatus Rokuibacteriota.